CGGACAUCUCCCCCCGAAAUCACUCCAGCGACCACCACCGCCAUCACUAAUACACCAUUGCCGUGGUCACACAAAGCUCCGACAACCAUAAGAGCCGUCGUCAAUCUGGCUACUGGUACGAGUCUAAGCUCAUUGAUGCCAUCUCCAAAGAGAUCCUCGUAAAGAUAUGGAUAUAGAACGUUGAAAAAGGGGAUCACAAAAAUUGGUUUCCAAAGUCGAAAGACAGCAUUUAGAACUUUUGUUGCUUAAUCAUAGUUGCAAUUCCAAAGAAGGAAACACAUUGUGAUAUCAUCUUCAUAGUUUUGAUGUCAGCGUCUAAAAAGGUUAAAAAUAAUGAAGCUGAGGCACUGUCAUAACCUUACAAAUAGCCCUGACUUCACAGAGAUCAGAAAUCUCGAAGAGCUAAGUUUUGAAGGUUGUAUUAAUUUGUGUGAAGUUCAUGCAUCAAUUCUACUGCUCACGCAGCUUGUUGUCUUGAAUUUGAGGAACUGCAUACGCCUUAGGAGUUUUCCAUGCAUAACCAAAUUAUGUUCUCUGGAGGUUCUGAAUCUUUGUGGUUGCAUAAGAAUGGAUAAGUUCCCUAAGAGAGCAUGAGGGGACCCGAUGGCCUCGAUCAAGAUGGUGGACUUCAACCUUUUGGCCUUAGUUUUUGCCUAGAAUAUUCCGACACCCCUCCAGUUCGGUAUUGCCUUCAUUAUCGUGUCUACAUCUGUUAAAAAGUCUGGAUCUUAGCCAUUGCAGUUUAUCAGAACUGAGUCAGGACAGCAUUGGCGGUUUAUUAUGUUUAGAACAUUUAAACUUGAGUGGUAAUGACUUGACAAGCUUGCCUGCUAGUUUGAGUCGACUUUCUCGACUUCAGAUGCUUGGACUUGUUGGUUGCAAGAAGCUUGAAGUGUUGCCAGAACUUCCACCAAACAUUACCCGUUUCGAUGCUAUUGAUUGCACUGCUUUACGACAAAUCCACAAGCAGCAAAUACUUAACAGCAACUAUAACUUGUUCUAUGAUUUCACUAGUUGUCCAAAAUUGGUUGAUAAUUAUACCAUUGAAAGCAUGGUGUGUAUGUUGGUGCCGCAGAAAAGUAAUUACAUGGGUAAGAAAUUGCAUAUUGUGCUCCAGGGAACUAGAAUUCAUCAAUGGUUUACAAAUCAAAGUACAGGAAAUCAUGUAAAGGUAGAGUUGCCUCCUGGUUGGUUGUACAAUAAGUUUAGGGGAUAUGGUGUGUUGUUUUCACGGCCAAAAAUCUGUAUCAUAGUUCAUAAUUAAGCCACUUAACAUGCAAAGUAAGAGACAUUUUUGUAGAUGUCCACUGUGACGGUGUAGGUCUAGGGACCAUUUUCCCUGUAGAAACUAUAAGAAUUGCUGUAGCAUUCCCUUCUAGUGCGGAUGUUGAAGUAAAGUGGUGUGGUGUAAGACUUGUUUGUGAAGAGGACAUACAAGAAGGCAGCAAUUUGAGUAUGUUCCAUGGCCUCCCAUCUCUAAGACAAGGCAUUUCCUUCCACUCCAAUCAUGCAGGAUCUCAGACACCAUUGAAGAUGAGCCUCCUUGUAAGAGAAACUGUCUUGUUUGAUAAAUGUGGUCUUCCAGUUGAAAAGAUCUGUACUUUUGUGAAUUGUGUUUGAGGAUCAACAGAUCAUUUGUUAACCUCGCCCAAUAUCAACUUGACUUUGCAGACUUUCUGCACUAUUUCAUAUUUUAUUUGAUUUUUCUUUUAACUCUCAA
This is a long non-coding RNA of Erigeron canadensis, 1720 nucleotides long. RefSeq lists it as uncharacterized. The transcript is spliced from 3 exons. The record is from RefSeq and is a predicted model, not a curated record. Lineage: Eukaryota; Viridiplantae; Streptophyta; Magnoliopsida; Asterales; Asteraceae.